Molecule: transfer RNA, 27 nt
Filed under: Acipenser gueldenstaedtii (Russian sturgeon)
Lineage: Eukaryota; Metazoa; Chordata; Actinopteri; Acipenseriformes; Acipenseridae
Also listed under: 13 other names
Description: partial transfer RNA-Thr
Source: RNAcentral
GCCCUAGUAGCUUAGACAUCAAAGCAC